GACGAACGCUGGCGGCGUGCCUAAUACAUGCAAGUCGAGCGGACGGAUGGGAGCUUGCUCCCAGACCGUCAGCGGCGGACGGGUGAGUAACACGUGGGCAACCUGCCUGUAAGACUGGGAUAACUCCGGGAAACCGGGGCUAAUACCGGAUAACUCUUUCCCUCACAUGAGGGAAAGCUGAAAGAUGGCAUCUCGCUAUCACUUACAGAUAGGCCCGCGGCGCAUUAGCUAGUUGGUGAGGUAACGGCUCACCAAGGCGACGAUGCGUAGCCGACCUGAGAGGGUGAUCGGCCACACUGGGACUGAGACACGGCCCAGACUCCUACGGGAGGCAGCAGUAGGGAAUCUUCCGCAAUGGACGAAAGUCUGACGGAGCAACGCCGCGUGAGUGAUGAAGGUUUUCGGAUCGUAAAACUCUGUUGUCAGGGAAGAACAAGUACCGGAGUAACUGCCGGUACCUUGACGGUACCUGACCAGAAAGCCACGGCUAACUACGUG
Molecule: ribosomal RNA, 498 nt
Filed under: uncultured bacterium
Lineage: Bacteria
Description: partial 16S ribosomal RNA
Rfam family: Bacterial small subunit ribosomal RNA
Source: RNAcentral